GACAAUUCCUCUGUCUCUUCCUCACAUCAUCUCGUUUGCCUCACAGAUCUAGCGCGCCGUUGCCGGUCGAGCACCGGGAUGCCAUGGACAGGAAGGUUUCUUCCUCCCCUGUCUGGAUGCCAUGAACGACGCAGCUCCACCACUACCCCAUGGAGACGGAGCUCCUCCCACAUAACGCAUGGAGCCUCCGUCCCAGCGCCCAGGGCCCUAGAGGGAAAGGAAUUCAAGGCUAUGGCCGGAGAGAGACGAGCUGCUCCUAGUACAGGACGCCAUGGAAGGUGCUGCUCUGAUGAGGAGAAACUGCUGUUGAAGGACGUCCUCCUCCCCUCCCCUCCUCCUACCCCCACACGUGGUUAUGAUGAUAUUUCCAAGGAAAUAUACUGACCCUGAUGUGACGAAGGGAAGGCCAAAGAAAGAAAACACAAAAACAGUAGCAUGCACCUGCCAAGCCUUGAUGAGACUACACCGUACAGCGGAAAAUGGAUGGUAUAUACACGAUUUCAGACAUGAACACAACCACCAUUUGUCAUCAUCGUGUGGCGAGAAACUACAUUGGCCAUCACACAGGAACAUUGACACACACACCAAAGAUAUAGUGAAAUGAUGUGCUCUAUGUUCAUCCUGCUGUGUUAUU
Molecule: long non-coding RNA, 634 nt
Organism: Triticum dicoccoides
Lineage: Eukaryota; Viridiplantae; Streptophyta; Magnoliopsida; Poales; Poaceae
Exons: 5
Source: RefSeq, a predicted model, not a curated record